GUUUCCCAGUUCUCAGUCUAAAUGAGAAGGAAAUUAGAAGACCUGAAUCCCAAUGGUUGUUACCCAUCAGGUCCUGAAUUGGCCACUUCAUUCCCUUGAAGUGAAAAUAGAGUCUCUACCAACUGAAGAUGGGAAGGAUGAUGAAAUGAUAGAAACAGCAAUCCAAGAAUACAGAGAAAGAAAUUAGAAAGGAACAAAUAAAUGUUAAGAGGAGUUUUAAUGAAGAAAUGCUGUACUCAAUACUAUCGAGAGACAUUACCGUUUCUUUCAUGUUUGAACUCAUUUUGUGUUUGUAUCAUGAUCUGACAUUUCCCUCCAAUUUUCUCAUCCCACUGGCAGCAAGCCAAAAAAAAAAAUAGAAAUAAUUGAGAGGCAGAAAUCACGUCCUACUUCAUCUCCAUAAGAAGGGAGAAAUAGGAGAAGGUGAGCCAUUUCCAUGAUAGAGGUAAAUGAUUUAGAAAAAAUAUGUUGGUAUACCUCUCUGAUCUUACUAGAACAAAACAAGAGGGAUUCAGUUUCUUUUGAUACUUCUGGUCUUGGGAGUACAUACGGAGAAUGCUGCUCUGCAGAACUCAAGUCUAAAGAGGUCCUUUUCUGGGACAUUUAAAACAAACAACAACAAGCCCUUGCCACGCUCCUAGACUACUGCCUCACCAGGAUGGAGCUCUUAUGCAUUAUACAUGUUAAACAUCUCCUAUUCAGAGCUAACUUUGACUUUGUGCCCUGGGCCAGGUGAAAAGACUUUUCCAAACAAGAAAGAGUAAGGAAAAAAACAAAAAAAGAAAAACAACAACAACAACAACAAAACAAAAUACAAGAAGCAAACCAUAAACUGACAUUUCUUUAAGAAGAGGUUUCUGUGGCCAGCAUUGUUGUGACCUAAAAAAAUAGUUUUCUUUACCAUCAUUUACAAAAAUGCUUAAGGAAAAGUGGGGAAAAGAGUUCUUUUAUGGACUAUUUUAUCCUUUUUUUGUCCUCUCUUGCAGUCGACUUUUUGGCAAAAUACUGCAUCUUCAGCCAGGAGAAGUUGGCAAAGUACAAAAGGGCUUUUGAAGCGCCCCAGGGGUGCCCUGAGCAUUGCUGUGCUCCCUUGGGCACUGCACCAAUGGGACCUCGGAUCUGGCCCUCACUCUCUGUGUCAUAACAUCUCCUCUGUGAGCUGCUCGGGCAGGCUUUUGAAGACUCUGACUUUGCUGGUAAGAAAUCGGUGUCUAAUUCCCAGAUUACAUUUGUUUUCCUGCCAGCAUUGCCUGUUAGUUUACCUUUUUUCCUAUUUCCUCCAGUUUACCUUGAAGGUAUACACUAAGGCAGCUGUUCUCCAGCUCAUCCAUGGUUUUGCAAGGCUGAUUGAAGCAAGCCCCAUCAAUCUCCUGGCCUUGCUGUGCCAGGCUGAGCAUCUCCUCCUGCACUGGAGUGCAGCAUGGGCAGAGGAGCAGGGUGGGCAGGGCAGUGGCCUGGCUGGCAAGGGCCCUGUCCCAGAGCAGGUCUGCUGGCAGUCCCCAUACUCAGACACAGUCCAGUGGCUGCAGACACAUCCAGAGCAGAGAGGCAGGUCUGAGGUCAAGCCAAGAAUUCGGUCUGCAGGUCAGGGUCAACAGUGUAGCUCAAGCAGGGUCCAAGGGUGAGUCUCAGAGCUUAAAUGCAGCUCUUGGGCCAAUGGGUCGAGGCCCCAACUGGGCUCCUUGCAGUUCUUUCCAUGCAGUCUGAUCAGCAAGUUCACCCAGCCACGCUGUGUCAGGCCCUGACAGUUGGAAGGGGGUAACCAGAGCUACAGCCAUCACGACACAUCAGGUCUUUCCACUGCUACUUACUACUGAUUCUCUGCUGGAAGUACCCCCCCAACAGACCUUACAUCACAUUGUUCAUAUCCACGUCAUAUUGCUGGCUCAUAGCUAUCUCUUGCUUGGCCAUUCUCACAUGAAAUUCCACCUUCUAUGUCAUCUGUAUUUGCUGUGUCCCUAUCCAGCAGCAGAAAUUCCUAUUAUUAAUCCUGAAACAGGGCCCUGUGGACUUUCAUCUCAACUUUGCCCCUCCAGUCAUCAGUAACUCCCAGUGCUGUAAGAAACAGAUCAUUCUCUGGUGCUUUUUAACCUUUUGCCAAGUGAAUGACUGCUUGUCCUGCCAGCUGUUUGCUAACCUGAAUCUGGUACUGCUGGUCUGCAGGAGGGAAGGGGUUACAGGACUCUUUCAUCUUGUAAAUAUUUCUGACUUUGAUAAAUCUGAACACACUGUGACAAAAGAUUGCCUGCUUUCUUCUGUUUCCAUGUCCUUCCAUGUCCUUCUUUUUUUUUUUUUUUUUUUCUUGUCAUAGAAUCAUAGAAUGGUUUGAGUAAGGAUGGAAUAAUUAUAAUUGUGGGAUUUGAUUUUCUUUCAGAAUUUUGUAUCUGGAAUUGAACUUGGAUGCCAAUUCUUGUCAUUGGGACUGUGCUUUUAAGAAAUGGUGUUGCUAAGUGAGAGUAGUCUCUUUUAUGUUACGGCAGGAACACUUUGUUUUGCUGUAUUUUGAGUAACAAGGGGGUUUUGCCUUGCUGUAGAGAUGAAAGGCCCUUUAACAGAUGUGCAAAAAUAUCACAGUUUGGUUUAAUAAACAAAUCUUUCAGGAAAACA
Molecule: long non-coding RNA, 2607 nt
Filed under: Anser cygnoides (Swan goose)
Lineage: Eukaryota; Metazoa; Chordata; Aves; Anseriformes; Anatidae
Description: lncRNA (ENSACDG00005000761.1)
Source: RNAcentral